This 327-nucleotide ribosomal RNA is filed under the name uncultured eukaryote. RNAcentral's name for it is "partial 18S ribosomal RNA". It matches the Rfam family "Eukaryotic small subunit ribosomal RNA", at positions 1470 to 1796 of the family's 1831-position model. The record is from RNAcentral.
CCCUUAGAUGUUCUGGGCCGCACGCGCGCUACACUGACGAAUGCAACGAGCCUAUAACCUUGGCCGAAAGGUCUGGGUAAUCUCCAAAUUUCGUCGUGAUGGGGAUAGAUUAUUGCAAUUAUUAAUCUUCAACGAGGAAUGCCUAGUAAGCGCAAGCCAUCAGCUUGCGUUGAUUACGUCCCUGCCCUUUGUACACACCGCCCGUCGCUCCUACCGAUUGAAUGGUCCGGUGAAGCGCUCGGACCGCGGCCUCUUGACGGUUCGCUGUCGAUUGGCUGUGGGAAGUUCGUUAAACCUUAUCAUUUAGAGGAAGGAGAAGUCGUAACA